This 548-nucleotide ribosomal RNA is filed under the name uncultured Glomeromycotina. RNAcentral's name for it is "SSU rRNA". It matches the Rfam family "Eukaryotic small subunit ribosomal RNA", at positions 548 to 1098 of the family's 1831-position model. Lineage: Eukaryota; Fungi; Glomeromycota. The record is from RNAcentral.
UUGGAGGGCAAGUCUGGUGCCAGCAGCCGCGGUAAUUCCAGCUCCAAUAGCGUAUAUUAAAGUUGUUGCAGUUAAAAAGCUCGUAGUUGAAUUUCGGGAUCAGAUUGUCGGUCGUGCCUCGGUACGCACUGGCAUUAUUGGUUCCUACCUUCUGAAGAACCGCGAUGUCAUUAAUUUGGUGUCGUGGGGAAUCAGGACUGUUACUUUGAAAAAAUUAGAGUGUUUAAAGCAGGCGCACGCUUGAAUGCAUUAGCAUGGAAUAAUGAAAUAGGACGUUUGAUUCUAUUUUGUUGGUUUCUAGGAUCGACGUAAUGAUUAAUAGGGAUAGUUGGGGGCAUUAGUAUUCAAUUGUCAGAGGUGAAAUUCUUGGAUUUAUUGAAGACUAACUACUGCGAAAGCAUUUGCCAAGGAUGUUUUCAUUAAUCAAGAACGAAAGUUAGGGGAUCGAAGACGAUCAGAUACCGUCGUAGUCUUAACCAUAAACUAUGCCGACUAGGGAUCGGAUGAUGUUAAUUUUUUAAUGACUCAUUCGGCGCCUUACGGGAAAC